This 258-nucleotide ribosomal RNA is filed under the name uncultured bacterium. RNAcentral describes it as "partial 16S ribosomal RNA". It matches the Rfam family "Bacterial small subunit ribosomal RNA", at positions 96 to 354 of the family's 1533-position model. The record is from RNAcentral.
CGGCGGACGGGUGAGUAACGCGUGGGUAACCUGCCUUAUACAGGGGGAUAACAGUUAGAAAUGACUGCUAAUACCGCAUAAGCGCACAGUACCGCAUGGUACAGUGUGAAAAACUCCGGUGGUAUAAGAUGGACCCGCGUCUGAUUAGCCAGUUGGCGGGGUAAUGGCCCACCAAAGCGACGAUCAGUAGCCGACCUGAGAGGGUGACCGGCCACAUUGGGACUGAGACACGGCCCAAACUCCUACGGGAGGCAGCAG